CUUGGUCAUUUAGAGGAAGUAAAAGUCGUAACAAGGUUUCCGUAGGUGAACCUGCGGAAGGAUCAUUCAUAAUAAAGUGUUUUAUGGCACUUUUUAAAAAUCCAUAUCCACCUUGUGUGCAAUGUUAGAUCUCGUCAAUCUUGGCGAGGUUUUUAUACAUCAACUCAUUCUUUAACUAAUUUGUCUGAAAAAUAUUAUGAAUAACUUAAUUCAAAAUACAACUUUCAACAACGGAUCUCUUGGCUCUCGCAUCGAUGAAGAACGCAGCGAAAUGCGAUACGUAAUGUGAAUUGCAGAAUUCAGUGAAUCAUCGAAUCUUUGAACGCAUAUUGCGCUCUCUGGUAUUCCGGAGAGCAUGCUUGUUUGAGUAUCAGUAAACACCCUCAGAACUUUCUUGAUUUUCGAAUCUUGGAGCUCUGGAUUUGAGUGAUCCCAACGUGUUCUUUCGCAGAACAUGGCGGGCCACUUGAAAUGCAGGUGCAGCUGGACUUUCUUCUGAGCUAAAAGCAUAUUAUUUAGUCCUGUCAACACUUGUGUUGCGGAUUAUUACUUCUGCUGCAGCUUACAUAAAGGUUGAUUGUUCAAAUGCUGACUGAUGCAGGAUUUAUCAGGUAGCGUAAAGCGAUCUGUUAAACUCGAUCUCAAAUCAAGUAAGACUACCCGCUGAACUUAAGCAUAUCAAUAAGCGGAGG
RNAcentral lists this ribosomal RNA (692 nucleotides) under uncultured Mortierella. RNAcentral's name for it is "eukaryotic LSU rRNA". The stretch from base 220 to 373 matches the Rfam family "5.8S ribosomal RNA". The record is from RNAcentral. Lineage: Eukaryota; Fungi; Mortierellomycota; Mortierellomycetes; Mortierellales; Mortierellaceae.